This 72-nucleotide transfer RNA is filed under the name Marmota marmota marmota (Alpine marmot). It matches the Rfam family "tRNA". From Rfam's summary of the family: Transfer RNA (tRNA) molecules are approximately 80 nucleotides in length. Their secondary structure includes four short double-helical elements and three loops (D, anti-codon, and T loops). Further hydrogen bonds mediate the characteristic L-shaped molecular structure. tRNAs have two regions of fundamental functional importance: the anti-codon, which is responsible for specific mRNA codon recognition, and the 3' end, to which the tRNAs corresponding amino acid is attached (by aminoacyl-tRNA synthetases). tRNAs cope with the degeneracy of the genetic code in two manners: having more than one tRNA (with a specific anti-codon) for a particular amino acid; and 'wobble' base-pairing, i.e. permitting non-standard base-pairing at the 3rd anti-codon position. RNAcentral also lists the same sequence under 1 other name. Lineage: Eukaryota; Metazoa; Chordata; Mammalia; Rodentia; Sciuridae. The record is from Rfam by way of RNAcentral.
GGAGGUGAAGCUCAGUGGUAGAGCACAUUCUCAGCAUUCAUGGGACCCUGGGUUCAAUCUCCAGCACCACAA